AUACGGAGGAUCCGAGCGUUAUUCGGAUUUAUUGGGUUUAAAGGGAGCGUAGGUGGUUUGUUAAGUCAGUUGUGAAAGUUUGCGGCUCAACCGUAAAAUUGCAGUUGAAACUGGCAGUCUUGAGUACAGUAGAGGUGGGCGGAAUUCGUGGUGUAGCGGUGAAAUGCUUAGAUAUCACGAAGAACUCCGAUUGCGAAGGCAGCUCACUAGACUGGUACUGACACUGAUACUCGAAAGUGUGGGUAUCAAACAGGAUUAGAUACCGUGGUAGUCCACACAGUAAACGAUAAAUACUCGCUGUUUGCGAUAUACAGUAAGCGGCCAAGCGAAAGCAUUAAGUAUUCCACCUGGGGAGUACGCCGGCAACGGUGAAACUCAAAGGAAUUGACGGGG
Molecule: ribosomal RNA, 393 nt
Filed under: uncultured bacterium
Lineage: Bacteria
Description: partial 16S ribosomal RNA
Rfam family: Bacterial small subunit ribosomal RNA
Source: RNAcentral